This is a long non-coding RNA of Mustela erminea (ermine), 96 nucleotides long. RefSeq lists it as uncharacterized. Lineage: Eukaryota; Metazoa; Chordata; Mammalia; Carnivora; Mustelidae. The record is from RefSeq and is a predicted model, not a curated record. The transcript has 3 exons.
CUUUUUAUUGAAUCUUUUCUUGAGGGGUGCCUAUGUAGCUCAGUCAGUUAAGUGUCUGCUUUCGGCUCAGGUCAUGAUCCCAGGGUCCUGGGAUCA